UCCACGCCCUAAACGAUGAACACUAGUCGUCGGGAUGCUAGUCAUCUCGGUGAUGCACUUAACAGAUUAAGUGUUCCGCCUGGGGAGUACGGUCGCAAGAUUAAAACUCAAAGGAAUAGACGGGGACCCGCACAAGUGGUGGAGCAUGUGGUUUAAUUCGAAAAUACGCGAAGAACCUUACCUAGCCUUGACAUUGAUUGAACCUGCCAGAGAUGGCGGGGUGCCCUUCGGGGAGCAUGAAAACGGUGCUGCACGG
RNAcentral lists this ribosomal RNA (256 nucleotides) under uncultured bacterium. Its description in RNAcentral is "partial 16S ribosomal RNA". It matches the Rfam family "Bacterial small subunit ribosomal RNA", at positions 794 to 1048 of the family's 1533-position model. The record is from RNAcentral.